RNAcentral lists this long non-coding RNA (13047 nucleotides) under Medicago truncatula (barrel medic). RNAcentral describes it as "long non-coding RNA (MTRU_LNC000785)". Lineage: Eukaryota; Viridiplantae; Streptophyta; Magnoliopsida; Fabales; Fabaceae. The record is from RNAcentral.
UUUUGAUUUCAACUAGUGUGGUUUCUGCUGCUGCAGAUAGUUAUAUUUACUCUUCUCCUCCACCACCUUACGAGUAUAAGUCGCCACCGCCACCAUCACCUUCACCACCACCUCCUUAUGUUUACAAAUCGCCACCUCCUCCAUCCCCAUCACCUCCACCACCUUAUGAGCACAAGGCUCCUGCUUAUGAGUACAAGUCACCACCACCACCAACUCCUUCACCACCACCUCCUUAUGUGUACAAGUCACCACCACCGCCAUCUCCUUCACCACCACCUCCUUAUGUGUACAAGUCACCACCACCACCCUCACCUUCCCCACCACCACCAUACUACUACAAGAGUCCUCCACCACCUUCUCCUUCACCUCCACCUCCUUACUACUACAAAUCUCCUCCACCACCCUCACCUUCCCCACCACCACCAUACUAUUACAAGUCUCCUCCACCACCAUCUCCCUCACCUCCACCACCAUAUUACUACAAGUCUCCCCCACCACCCUCACCCUCCCCUCCACCCCCAUAUAUACACAAGGAUCCACCAUACUAUUACAAGUCCCCACCACCACCUUCACCAUCUCCUCCACCACCAUACUACUACAAAUCUCCCCCACCCCCUUCACCGUCUCCUCCACCACCAUACUACUACAAAUCUCCUCCUCCUCCAUCUCCUAUUCCCAAAACACCUUACUACUACAAAUCUCCCCCACCCCCUUCACCAUCUCCUCCACCACCAUACUACUACAAAUCUCCCCCACCCCCUUCACCGUCUCCUCCACCACCAUACUACUAUAAAUCUCCCCCACCACCGUCACCCUCUCCACCACCACCUUACUAUUACAAGUCUCCUCCCCCACCUUCACCAUCUCCUCCACCACCAUACUACUACAAAUCUCCUCCUCCUCCAUCUCCUAUUCCCCAUACACCUUACUAUUACAAAUCUCCCCCACCACCUUCACCAUCUCCUCCACCACCAUACUACUACAAAUCUCCUCCUCCUCCAUCUCCUAUUCCCCGUACACCUUACUAUUACAAAUCUCCCCCACCACCUUCACCAUCUCCUCCACCACCAUACUACUACAAAUCCCCUCCUCAUCCAUCUCCCAUUCCCCAUACACCUUACUAUUACACAUCUCCCCCACCACCUUCACCGUCUCCUCCACCACCAUAUUACUACAAAUCUCCUCCCCCUCCGUCUCCUAUUCCCCACACACCUUACUACUACAAGUCCCCACCACCACCAAAGGUCCUUCCACCACCAUACUAUUACAAUUCUCCUCCUCCACCUGUUGUGUAUCCUCACCCAUAUCCCUACCACCACUCACUUAUUGUGAGGGUAGUCGGUAAAGUCUACAGCUUCAGAUGUUAUGAUUGGAAUUAUCCUGCAAAGUCUCAUAACAAGAAACAUCUCAAAGGUACAUUACAUUUCUUAGGACCGGACCUCUUUAGAGUAAUGUGUUUAGAGAUAAUGCACAAUUUUUUAUUUUUUUAUCUCGUAAAGGUUUAUUUAUUAUAAUCACAAUUUCACUUUUGUCAAAAAGAAAAACAAUUUUACUAUAUAUAGUUUUAAUCAUUAACAUUUUGAUGUAAAAAGAAUACAAUUCUCUAUUACCUUUUUACUAUGAUAUAUAUACAAAGAUUAUUCAAAUCUAUAUAUCCAACCUAAUUUCCAUCCAAAAAAAUAGAAAACAUAGGGUGCUUUGAACGCCUGCAGCAUCACAUGAAUAAAUAAAAACAAUCAAUAAUCAACCUUGUUCUAAUUUAUUUUAGACAGCGAUUGUUAAGCAUACUGCUCUUUUAAUUACAUUUUUUUUAAAGAUGCUCUUUUAAUUAUAUUGUCCUAAUAUAAUAUGUGUCUUUAUAUAUUACUUGUCGUAAACUAAUUUUAUUAUGGGUGCAGGAGCUGUUGUUGAGGUGACAUGCAAAGCCGGGAGCAAAAUUGUCAAGGCUUAUGGAAAAACUAAGAACAAUGGAAAGUAUGCCAUCACAGUUAAGGACUUUGACUAUGUCAAAUAUGGUUCGACAGUGUGCAAGGCUGCCCUAUAUGCUCCACCUAAGGGUUCACCCUUCAACAUACCUACAAAGCUAAAUCAAGGAACAAAGUUGUACUUGAAAUCCAAAGACAAGUACGAGGUUGUGCUCAAGGCUAAGCCAUUUGCUUAUGCUUCAAAGAAACAUUUCAAAGAAUGUGAGAAGCCUAAGCCUUCACCAACUCCUUACUACUACAAAUCACCUCCACCUCCCUCACCAGUUUACAAAUACAACUCACCACCUCCACCGGUCCAUUAUUAUUCACCUCCAUACACCUACAAGUCACCUCCUCCCCCUGUGAAAGCGGCACCAACUCCUUACUACUACAAAUCACCUCCACCACCCGCACCGGUUUACAAGUACAACUCACCCCCUCCACCGGUCCAUUAUUAUUCACCACCAUAUACCUAUAAGUCACCUCCUCCCCCUGUGAAAGCGGCACCAACUCCUUACUACUACAAAUCACCUCCACCUCCCGCACCGGUUUACAAGUACAACUCCCCACCUCCACCGGUCCAUUAUUAUUCACCUCCAUAUACCUACAAGUCACCUCCUCCCCCUGUGAAAGUGGCACCAACUCCUUACUACUACAAAUCACCUCCACCACCCGCACCGGUUUACAAGUACAACUCACCACCUCCACCGGUCCAUUAUUAUUCUCCACCAUACUACUACAAGUCACCACCCCCACCAUCUCCAUCACCUCCUCCACCAUACUAUUUCAAAUACUAUUACAAGUCCCCACCUCCACCAUCACCAUCCCCUCCUCCACCUUAUUAUUACAAAUCUCCUCCUCCACCAAAACAAAUUUCACACCCUCCAUACUACUAUAAGUCACCACCCCCACCAUCACCAUCACCUCCUCCACCAUACUAUUAUAAGUCUCCACCUCCACCAUCACCAUCUCCCCCACCACCUUAUUAUUAUAAGUCACCACCCCCACCAUCCCCGUCCCCUCCUCCACCAUACUACUACAAGUCUCCACCUCCACCUAAAGAAAUAUCACAUCCUCCAUAUAACUAUAAGUCACCACCCCCACCAUCACCAUCCCCUCCCCCUCCAUACUAUUACAAAUCUCCUCCACCACCAUCACCAUCACCACCACCUCCCUACUAUUACAAAUCACCUCCACCACCAUCACCAUCACCUCCCCCUCCAUACUAUUACAAAUCUCCUCCACCACCAUCACCAUCACCACCACCUCCUUACUAUUACAAAUCACCUCCACCACCAUCCCCAUCACCACCACCUCCAUACUACUACAAAAGUCCCCCUCCACCAUCUCCAUCUCCUCCAUCCCCAUAUUACUACAAAUCUCCACCACCACCAUCACCAUCCCCACCCCCUCCCUACUAUUACAAAUCACCUCCACCUCCCUCACCAUCACCGCCACCUCCUUACUAUUACAAAUCACCUCCACCUCCCUCACCAUCACCGCCACCUCCUUACUAUUACAAAUCUCCCCCACCUCCAUCUCCAUCUCCACCACCUCCUUACCACUAUCAAAGUCCUCCUCCACCAUCUCCCAUUUCUCAUCCUCCCUACUACUACAAAUCCCCUCCACCACCAUCGCCGUCUCCUCCACCUCCUUACCACUAUGUGAGUCCUCCCCCACCAGUAAAGUCACCUCCACCACCAACUUAUAUCUAUGCUUCACCACCACCACCUCACUACAACUAAGCUCAAAGAGCAGAAGCUCCGUUCAUUAUAAAUCAUGUAAGUUUAUCAUCUUCAAUUUUCUGAAUGUGUGCGUGUGUAUUUGUUUUUUUGUUACAAGAUACUAACAAAAUUCUUUUCUUAUUUAUGUUCAGGUUUUAGUUUUCAUCUAGGAAUAAAGGCAAGCUCCAUUUGGAGUAAAGUGAAACUUCUAGCUUCGUGUCCGAAUUCGUUAAAUAAAUGUCGGGAUGUAUCGUCUUUGAGCUAUAAUAUUUCUGAUCCAGACAAUAUCUAUUUUGUUUCUUUGGUGGCAAUCUUGCACUUCCUGGUCUUAGUCUAUUCAAGUGACAGACAAAUCAAAAGGGAGAAGCGAGAUUAAUUUAUUUGUGAUCUCUUUGAUUUAUUUGUGCAUAUAUCAAUAUGAACGUGUAUGAUAUUUUUCUAUUUAUUGAAGAUUUUUUUACUGUAACCUGUUAUUGUGUUUGUCAAAAGGUGUUAAUAAAGAAUCACAUUCAAUUUCUGUUAAAUUAUCAGUAUUUGUUUCUUUCUAACAACUACCAUUCAUGCAAAUGUGGCUAUUAAAAAAAGCUCCAAUGACACAUAAAAAGCUUCCAAACAAUAUAUAAACAAAGAUGCAUUGUUUUCUGUUAAGAAGGGGACAGGGUUACGGUUACUUGUGUACCAAGUUAGUUAUCCAUGCUUUCUUGUUCAUAGGAUUUAUAUGGUGUAGUUGCACUUAGUUGCUAAAUGUAUGCAAGCUUUUCCUUUCUAUAAAUAAGCACACCUACUAUCAUUCUUCUCCACAUUCCUUUCUACUCUUCUAUCAUGAAUUGUUCAUCCACAUAAGAUGGUCACAGAGCACACCUAAUACUCUGCUACUGGUGUAUCAGUUCCUUUCCACCAGAAACUUAUGAUCUCUAAUUGAAAGAGAUCCUAAAGUUUUAAGAUUUCUACAAAAUACAUUAUUCUCAUUUUUGUACAAGUAUGAUACAAUUAUUCCCAAGUAUUAUUUAUUCUAAGGAAUAGAAUUUAGUUGUGGUUUCUCUAUUUAACCAACAUUUAUUUUUAAAUAACUAAAUUUAAAAAAAAAAUCCUGAAAUUAUUAAGUACAUACCUAACACAUUGUAAAAUUUUGUUCCCAAAGAAAAUAUUUUUGGCAAUAGAAUUUUCAGGAACUUCAUUCCUAGGAAUAUAAUUCUAUACUAAGAGAAGAGCUUAAGCAUUGAUACAUAACAAGACCAAUCCAUAUCCUAAUCACAAUCCUACUUUCACUAAAUACUUUCACUUAAGUGUGGUCUUGGAAAGGACAAAUGAAGAAAGACAUUCCAGAGGUAUGGUAAGGGACAAUAUCUGCAGUUAUGCACAUAUUGCAAGAUUGUGAGGAACUACCGGACUGAUUUGAUUCACCAAAAAAUUUGGAAUAAAUAUUUCAGCCCAGAACUCAGACAAUGACUGGAUUGGAACCUUUCAGCUUCUAAUAUCGGUACUGUCCAAGGAAAUAGUCAUUCUCUUUUUGGAGUAGCUGUGAAGGAUUUAUGGAAAGAUAGAACUAAGCUGGUCUUUUCUAGAAACACCGCGAUUGGAACUACUCUAUUUUGGCUUGUAGCCAAUCCGGCUAAGUUUAUUAACAAUGUAGUUUGUACUCAAGCUCACAGUCACGAUGUUGUCAGCAACAGUGGGCAUAUUGUUUAGGUAGCCUGGAAUUUUCCUCCCCAACACUUCUUCAAAGUGAAUAUGAUGGAUCUCUACGGGAUUAUGUUAGUUUCCAGGAUCGAACUCAGAACCUCCUGAUUAUAACUCCUUCAAUGUAUGUCCCUUACCCACGUGGGGCCUCGGCUGUAAUUGUUAACAUGGUAAAAUUUGGCUCUUCCAAUAAUGGUUUUAUCCAAACUCGAGGUUGUUUAUCGUCUCCAACAAUCAGAUUGGAGAAUACUAGUGGUUCAUGCAUUUGAACAAACCAACUGUUGUGCAGAUUUUCUAGUUGAUUUUGUUUUUCCUUUUUUGAGUAUUUUAUUAGCCAAUGAUAUAAGAGGUUGUAGCCUACCUCUUUUGAUUUCUUAAGACAAUCACUUUUGCAUUAGAAAAAAACGACCCUACAUAAAAUUAAUGAUUGAAUUAAGAUAUAACUUCAGUUUGAAAUAUUGUAAAAUUCUAUACCACCAAAAACUGAGAAUUUUAGAACCAUACAGGUUGGUGGAGUGGUCAUCCAGAUAACUUUAACAUAAUUAACAGUCCAAAAAGUAAAUAGCUUUAUCCUUUAUUUUCAAUCUGAUGUGAUUUACUCUUAUCUGUUAAACAUUAUAAUUAAGAAUCCAAAGGGAACACUCACCUAAUCUCUCUCUUUUUUCUAGCUUUUUCACUAAACCACUGUGUCUGUGGUUACCACAUUUCCUUAUGGAAUCAAUAUCCAAUUUAUGUUAAAAACCAUUUCUACAUUUUGUGUUAAAAAUGAUCUAAACAAAGAUGAUUUAUUUCUCUUAAAUUCAACAUAGAUCAUAUUUACAUGGUUCAAACUUUCUAUUACACGGCAUUGACUUAGUUGCUUCACAUGGGGACACAACUAAUGCAUAUAUUAUUUUAUAUGCUUAUAGUAAUUUUAACAAGUGGCAAUGGGGCAUAUGUUUUGUCAAAAAAACACAAAAAACAGGAGGCAUGUGCAACUGAAGUCACUGCCAGCUUGGCACUAAGAUAUAGUAAAAUAAUUGACAUUUGAAGAAAACAAAGACGUUGCUACAUUUCUAUUCAAACAAGCGACAUCAAUAUCAGACAAUGGUGCUACAUUUAAUAAUACUACAGCUAUCCCCAUAAGCACCUCUUAGAAAGAAAAAAAAAUAUCCAUUAAAUUAAUGUUGGAAGAGUUAGCAACAUGUCCUCUCCCAAAAAAACUCAUGUUUGAUUCCUAGAGUCGUCCAUUUCGAAAGAAGCUCAACCCUGAUAAUAAAAACCUAGAUGUUAUGCUGCAGACUUAAAGAUCAAUUUCAUAAUGGAUCCAAAGGGCCUAAGCUGUGUGGGAUACUUAAGGGGGUAUAUUGAGGCUAAGGGUCAAAGAUCUUAAUUAUGGUCGGUUAAAAAAAGAAGAAAAAAAAAUUAUCUCUAAAUAUAAAGUCAACAAUAUUUCAAAUUGCAAGAUACAUUUAUUUAUUUUUUAAAUAUGUAUAUACCUCUUAUUAAUACUUACUAAUUUGUUUUGAGUGAUAAAAAGUUACGAGUUAGACAGAUCAGCACAUAAAAAAAGUAUUUGAAAAACAUCUACCAACAAAAUAAACACAUUAAAAACAAUACUACUUUUUUACAAUACUGUAUGUGAAAAUGACAAAAUCUUGAAAAAGAUGGAGGUAACAUGUACUCUUUUUUUUUUAGAGGGGAGCAUGUACUUUUCCACUAACAAUGUUGAUAAGAAACAUAUAAAAUACUAUUAGAGAAAGAAAAAAAAUAAUAAAUAAAGAAAUAUAUAAAAUACUGAGGAAUGACUCACUCAUGUCAAAUUUUAGCAAGGGAGAAGUGAUAUCACAUCAUUUUAGAAGAGGAAUGAGAAUAGAUAGAUCUAAUUUUUCUAGUAAGUUUGAAUAGUAGAAUCAUACUUCUUUGUCUUUUGUGAAAAUUUCAUAUUAUGGGAUCUAUUACUAGAAUACAGGUGAUUUUAUUCUGGAAGAUUGACUUUUUAUUAAAAUAAAAUAAAAGUACAUUUUUUAUUUCCAAAUGCUUAGUUGUUCAUUUAUAAAUAUUACAUUAUCCAACAGCACCAAACCCUAUUUCAUAACGGUACUCUGCACGUUUCAUUCAUUUACUGGUGCCUUAGUUUUUUGUUACAAACAGACAUUGAUCAGAGGAACAAAUGUAGAGACAAAUUGAAGAUAAUAUAUCACAUAAUAUUGUAGACACACCUUCACAUACAAAUGGGGUAAAGUCCCUCAUAGUAGUAUUAGAAAUAACACUUAGAGUAAAAUUUUGCUAAAUUUAACAUGAAAAUAAGUGUAAUGUAUUUUAUAGGCAGCUAUACAUAAUUAUUAAUUAGAACAAUUUUUUACACUGUCAAACAAAAAUUGAACAAUUUUUUACUAGCUUUAUGCUUUAUGAUGUUUUGAUUCCAUGUGCACAUUUCAAUUUUAGAACUAUUCCUUUCUAUGUUACUGAAAUAAUUCUAUCAUUAGGCAUUGACAUUUCCAUUAUGCGUGCACGUUAAAGUGUUUUCCCAAACAGAGAAAUAUUAAGAAAGGUUAAACUUUUGACUUAAAGACACAACUAAAAUAAGAUCCAAGGAAAACCCCAUUGAUUAUUUCUUGCACAAAAUUAAAAACCCCAUUGAUUAUUUCUUGCACAAAAUUAAAAUGCUAAUAAUUUUUCCUGGUCUAUAUUUUUCUCCUUCCGGGAAAUGGCAACAUCACAUGUUCAUCUCAUAAUUGAGAAAACACAUGUCUGGGAAAAUAUCUUAAAGAAAAGGCAGUAAAGUAAUAAAAAGUGCACCAAAUAGAGAUUAACUAGUACUCUUUGCAUGUCAACUAAGUGGUAUAAUUAUGUAUAUCACAUUCUUAAUAUUGAUUAUCUUGAUUGCACGAUAAGCCCCUCAAAUUGCUCAAUCGAUGAUUGCUUGAUAAGCCCAUCAAAUUGCCCAAUCGAUCGAAUCGUAACUUUCGAUAGACAUUUUUUUUAAGAAAACCCAAUUGGAUCAUAACUCCCCAUAGUCAUUUAUUUGAAAUUGUGAGCAAUUUGAUAACUUAUUGAGCAAUCACCAUUGAUUUUAGUCUCAAUUUAUCCUAAUGUUGUAACCCUGGAAUAAUGGAACAGUGAGUAAAUUUGGUUUCUCCGUCUCAAAAUAAGUGUCACAAUUUAACCAUGUGCACUACUCAUCAAAUCUACUUUGACAACAUUUUUUUUACUAAUAUAUAAAGACAAUGUUAGUACAUUACAUGUUCGAUUUGUCUUAGUUAAUGUUUUUAAAAUAUCGACUUUAUUAUAAUUUUUCUUAAUAGACAAUCAAAAAUAUCAAUUGUCAAAAUUGUGUAUUGAUAUGUAUGAAAAUCAAACUAUAACACUUACUUUGAGACGAAGAGAAUAACUAUUAAAAACUAAUGUUCAAAUAGAAAGAAAAGAAAACAAAGAUUCCAUACAAAGCUUGCAAAAUAGCUACAAUCAUAACCUAGAACAAAAAUCAUGACCACACACUAUAUCCAUUUUCCUUUUCCUAAAAAGCAAUUGAAGAUAAAAAAAAAAAAAAUAAUAAAUAAAAAAAAAAAAAAAAAAAAAAAAAANACCACCAUACUACUACAAAUCCCCACCUCCACCAUCGCCUUCUCCUCCACCACCAUACUACUACAAAUCCCCACCUCCACCAUCGCCUUCUCCUCCACCACCAUACUACUACAAAUCCCCACCUCCACCAUCGCCUUCUCCUCCACCACCAUACUACUACAAAUCCCCACCUCCACCAUCGCCUUCUCCUCCACCACCAUACUACUACAAAUCCCCACCUCCACCAUCGCCUUCUCCUCCACCACCAUACUACUACAAAUCCCCACCUCCACCAUCGCCUUCUCCUCCACCACCAUACUACUACAAAUCCCCACCUCCACCAUCGCCUUCUCCUCCACCACCAUACUACUACAAAUCCCCACCUCCACCAUCGCCUUCUCCUCCACCACCAUACUACUACAAAUCCCCACCUCCACCAUCGCCUUCUCCUCCACCACCAUACUACUACAAAUCCCCACCUCCACCAUCGCCUUCUCCUCCACCACCAUACUACUACAAAUCCCCACCUCCACCAUCGCCUUCUCCUCCACCACCAUACUACUACAAAUCCCCACCUCCACCAUCGCCUUCUCCUCCACCACCAUACUACUACAAAUCCCCACCUCCACCAUCGCCUUCUCCUCCACCACCAUACUACUACAAAUCCCCACCUCCACCAUCGCCUUCUCCUCCACCACCAUACUACUACAAAUCCCCACCUCCACCAUCGCCUUCUCCUCCACCACCAUACUACUACAAAUCCCCACCUCCACCAUCGCCUUCUCCUCCACCACCAUACUACUACAAAUCCCCACCUCCACCAUCGCCUUCUCCUCCACCACCAUACUACUACAAAUCCCCACCUCCACCAUCGCCUUCUCCUCCACCACCAUACUACUACAAAUCCCCACCUCCACCAUCGCCUUCUCCUCCACCACCAUACUACUACAAAUCCCCACCUCCACCAUCGCCUUCUCCUCCACCACCAUACUACUACAAAUCCCCACCUCCACCAUCGCCUUCUCCUCCACCACCAUACUACUACAAAUCCCCACCUCCACCAUCGCCUUCUCCUCCACCACCAUACUACUACAAAUCCCCACCUCCACCAUCGCCUUCUCCUCCACCACCAUACUACUACAAAUCCCCACCUCCACCAUCGCCUUCUCCUCCACCACCAUACUACUACAAAUCCCCACCUCCACCAUCGCCUUCUCCUCCACCACCAUACUACUACAAAUCCCCACCUCCACCAUCGCCUUCUCCUCCACCACCAUACUACUACAAAUCCCCACCUCCACCAUCGCCUUCUCCUCCACCACCAUACUACUACAAAUCCCCACCUCCACCAUCGCCUUCUCCUCCACCACCAUACUACUACAAAUCCCCACCUCCACCAUCGCCUUCUCCUCCCCCACCUUACUAUUACAAAUCCCCACCGCCACCUUCACCAUCUCCCCCACCACCCUACUACUAUAAAUCACCCCCACCACCUUCACCAUCUCCUCCACCACCAUACUACUACAAAUCACCCCCACCGCCAUAUGAACACAAGACUAAACCAUACUAUUACAAGUCUCCUCCACCACCAUAUGAACACAAGACUAAACCAUACUAUUACAAGUCCCCACCACCACCUUCACCAUCUCCUCCACCACCAUACUAUUACAAGUCCCCACCACCACCUUCACCGUCUCCACCCCCACCAUACUACUACAAAUCACCUCCUCCUCCAUCACCUAUUCCCCAUACACCUUACUACUACAAGUCCCCACCACCACCUAAGGUUCUUCCACCACCAUACUAUUACAACUCUCCUCCUCCACCUGUUGUGUAUCAUCACCCUCAUCCCUACCACCAUGCAUUGAUCGUGAAGGUAGUGGGUAACGUCUACAGCUUCAGAUGUUAUGACUGGGAGUAUCCUGAAAAGUCUCAUAACAAGAAACACCUCAAAGGUACAUCACAUUACAUUUCUCAAUUCUUUCAUUUUUAUAGAUUUUAUGUACAUCACUAUUGGCUCGUAGUUUCUCAAUACCAUUACAACUAAACUGCAAGUUUCAGUAAUGAGAUUCAUAUAGACAUGUUUUUAUUAACAUCUUUGUUUCUUAGAAAUUAUACAAACACUUAAUUUAGGUUUCUCCAUGUCCAAUAAAGUAAACAAUUGAUAUAUCAAAUUAACAUAUAUGAUAUAUCAUUUACCUCAUUAAAAUUUAAUAAUCCUGCCUAAUAUAAAGAUUCGGUUUGAAAAUGAUAGUUUAGUGAGCUUCUUUAUAAUAACACUCUCCAAUAUAUUAUGUUUUAAAAACAAUUAUAUUUCUAUUUGUCUAAAUUCAAAUUUGUUAUGGGACAGGUGCUGUUGUUGAAGUGACAUGCAAAGCCGGGAGCAAAAUCAUCAAGGCUUACGGUAAAACUAAGAUCAAUGGAAAGUAUGCCAUCACAGUUAAGGACUUUGACUAUGUCAAAUAUGGUUCAACAGUGUGCAAGGCUGCCCUUUAUGCUCCACCUAAGGGUUCACCCUUCAACAUACCUACAAAGCUAAACCAAGGAACAAACUUGUACUUGAAAUCCAAAGACAAGUACGAGGUUGUGCUCAAGGCUAAGCCAUUUGCUUAUGCUUCAAAGAAACAUUUCAAAGAAUGUGAGAAGUCCAAGCCUUCACCAACUCCUUACUACUACAAAUCACCUCCACCUCCCUCACCAGUUUACAAGUAUAACUCACCACCUCCACCCGUCCAUUAUUACUCACCUCCAUAUUACUACAAGUCACCUCCUCCCCCCGUGAAAGCGGCACCAACUCCUUACUACUACAAAUCACCUCCACCUCCCGCACCAGUUUACAAGUACAACUCCCCACCUCCGCCAGUCCAUUACUAUUCACCUCCAUACACCUAUAAGUCACCUCCUCCUCCUGUGAAAGCAGCACCAACUCCUUACUACUACAAAUCACCUCCACCUCCCGCACCGGUUUACAAGUACAACUCACCACCUCCACCGGUCCAUUAUUAUUCUCCACCAUACUACUACAAGUCACCACCCCCACCAUCUCCAUCACCUCCUCCACCAUACUAUUUCAAAUACUAUUACAAGUCCCCACCUCCACCAUCACCAUCCCCUCCUCCACCUUAUUAUUACAAAUCUCCUCCUCCACCAAAACAAAUUUCACACCCUCCAUACUACUAUAAGUCACCACCCCCACCAUCACCAUCACCUCCUCCACCAUACUAUUAUAAGUCUCCACCUCCACCAUCACCAUCUCCCCCACCACCUUAUUAUUAUAAGUCACCACCCCCACCAUCCCCGUCCCCUCCUCCACCAUACUACUACAAGUCUCCACCUCCACCUAAAGAAAUAUCACAUCCUCCAUAUAACUAUAAGUCACCACCCCCACCAUCACCAUCCCCUCCCCCUCCAUACUAUUACAAAUCUCCUCCACCACCAUCACCAUCACCACCACCUCCCUACUAUUACAAAUCACCUCCACCACCAUCACCAUCACCUCCCCCUCCAUACUAUUACAAAUCUCCUCCACCACCAUCACCAUCACCACCACCUCCUUACUAUUACAAAUCACCUCCACCACCAUCCCCAUCACCACCACCUCCAUACUACUACAAAAGUCCCCCUCCACCAUCUCCAUCUCCUCCAUCCCCAUAUUACUACAAAUCUCCACCACCACCAUCACCAUCCCCACCCCCUCCCUACUAUUACAAAUCACCUCCACCUCCCUCACCAUCACCGCCACCUCCUUACUAUUACAAAUCUCCCCCACCUCCAUCUCCAUCUCCACCACCUCCUUAUCACUAUCAAAGUCCUCCUCCCCCAUCUCCCAUUUCUCAUCCUCCCAACUACUACAAAUCCCCUCCACCACCAUCGCCAUCUCCUCCACCUCCAUACCAUUACGUGAGUCCUCCCCCACCAGUAAAGUCACCUCCACCACCAGCUUACAUCUAUGCUUCUCCACCACCACCAAUCUACAACUAGCCUCACAACACCAAAUCACCAUUGGUGAUAAAUUAUGUAAGUUUACCAUUAUUGCAAUCAUAACACUUGCAUCUUUUCCCACCCAUACACACACAUAUCACAUGUUUAAAUUUUAUGUACUAAUCAACAAAAACUCUUAUUUGUUUUCAGGU